GGUCGGAGGUCGGGAGGGUGCGGUUGCGAGGGGUGUUGGCAAUGGAGUUGUGCGUGUGAGAAAGAAGGCAAAGUGUAAGAGUGAAGAUGGGAGUGUGAGAAAGAGGUAGGAAAUUAAGCGCUAACUGUUACUGGCAAUGGUUUUUAACGACGGUUCUCUAAGAACCGUCAUGGAAAGCUUCAUUUUAACGACGAUUCAUGGCGUGAACCGUCUU
This 214-nucleotide long non-coding RNA is filed under the name Phaseolus vulgaris (common bean). Its description in RNAcentral is "long non-coding RNA (PVUL_LNC000587)". Lineage: Eukaryota; Viridiplantae; Streptophyta; Magnoliopsida; Fabales; Fabaceae. The record is from RNAcentral.